This is a non-coding RNA of Rhipicephalus microplus (southern cattle tick), 82 nucleotides long. NCBI's taxonomy places the organism in Eukaryota, Metazoa, Arthropoda, Arachnida, Ixodida, Ixodidae. The record is from the annotation of a RefSeq genome assembly.
GACAAGGUGGCCGGGAGGUUAUGGCGAUGGACUGCUAAUCCAUUGGGCUCAUUCCGCGUGGGUUCGAAUCCCAUCCUCGUCG